Non-coding RNA from Pelobates cultripes (western spadefoot toad), 242 nucleotides. NCBI's taxonomy places the organism in Eukaryota, Metazoa, Chordata, Amphibia, Anura, Pelobatidae. The record is from the annotation of a GenBank genome assembly.
CAGUUAUCAGACCCAGUAACUAUCUCAAACGGCACAAGACAGGGGUGCCCUCUCUGUCCCCUCUUAUUUGUUCAUGUCCUGGAACCCUUUCUCCAGGGCAUAGAAGAUAAUCCCAACAUCCAGGGCAUACGAGUGGGUGAAACCGAGCAUAAGAUAUCUGCAUUCGCAGACAACAUGCUGUUCACUGUUUUGAACCCUAUCAAAUCCCUACCCUAUAUUAUGCAGGGAAUUCUAUUAUACAG